RNAcentral lists this ribosomal RNA (507 nucleotides) under uncultured bacterium. RNAcentral describes it as "partial 16S ribosomal RNA". It matches the Rfam family "Bacterial small subunit ribosomal RNA", at positions 28 to 507 of the family's 1533-position model. The record is from RNAcentral.
GACGAACGCUGGCGGCGUGCCUAAUACAUGCAAGUCGAACGCAUUUUCUUUCACCGUAGCUUGCUACACCGAAAGAAAAUGAGUGGCGAACGGGUGAGUAACACGUGGGUAACCUGCCCAUCAGCGGGGGAUAACACUUGGAAACAGGUGCUAAUACCGCAUAAUUCCAUUUACCGCAUGGUAGAUGGAUGAAAGGCGCUUUUGCGUCGCUGAUGGAUGGACCCGCGGUGCAUUAGCUAGUUGGUGGGGUAACGGCCUACCAAGGCUGCGAUGCAUAGCCGACCUGAGAGGGUGAUCGGCCACACUGGGACUGGGACACGGCCCAGACUCCUACGGGAGGCAGCAGUAGGGAAUCUUCGGCAAUGGACACAAGUCUGACCGAGCAACGCCGCGUGAGUGAAGAAGGUUUUCGGAUCGUAAAACUCUGUUGUUAGAGAAGAACAAGGAUGAGAGUGGAAAGUUCAUCCCUUGACGGUAUCUAACCAGAAAGCCACGGCUAACUACGUG